AUUAAAACGAUGCUGGAAUCGAUUUUUUCCCAGCUCUACAAGACAUCUGGAAAUAAAGAGAAAAUAUAAUAUUGUAUAUGUUGACAUCUGACAACUUAAGAAUCUCCUAGUUCAACGCUUUCUUAUUAAUAAAGUACUUGUUGACAUGGGCAGUAUUGAAAAGGCUUGCAUAUCAGGGUUUCUCUGCCGUCUAUGUUCGGAAAUGCACAGAACUGUAAUUCAUAUAUAUAGUGACCACGGCCAACGUCUAUGCCUUGUUGAAAAAAUUAACGGCUACCUUCCAAUAACUGUACGUAUUAAAUCAAUUUGUAAAUAAAAUGUUUAAGGUAACAUACGCACGUUAAAAUAUCAAAGUGCCAUGUCGUUGCGAGUAUAUUAUCAAUUUUGCAUUAUGUACAUAAAUAUUUACAUAUAUACACACAUUUGCAUUUUUAUAGAAUGUUUUGAGCAUUAAUAUUGGGUUUGUUUAUGUAUGUAUAAAUGUACGCUUAUUAUAUCCUCGUAAUGAUCAUGAUUACACAGUUUCUGAAAGUAUUGCACAGAUUCUAUACAGAUGUUAAUAUGUGCUUGACAUCGAAUUGGGUUUUAUUAACCAAAAAAUUAAUCCCCAAUUGUGGGAAAAAAUAAUGUGACAAGUGAAACAAAUAUAAAACAAAAUGUUAAACCUUAAUGUCCAGAUAUGUAAAUUAAUACGAUAGAAUAAUACAUAAGGAUUAAUUCCAAAUAAAUAUUUGAAUUUUUCAGAUUUCUCCGACUGAUCCGUUGCCAAAAACCAUAUGCAGAACAUGUUUACAUCGUGUAGAGCAACAUUAUUCUCUUUUGAUGAGGCUUACACAAAUGAGAGAGGAGCGAAAAAUUAAAGGAUUUGAGUACAAGCCAAGCAGAGAAACGGUGAGUUAAAGGUACAUGCCAGAGAUAAGUACAUAUGUACAGACAUACAUAUGCAAAUACUCUUAUCCUUUGGACCAAAGGGAGCACAAGUCGAAAACAAGGUCACAAUCAACACAAGCAAGUGCAUUUUCAGAUGUCACAACGUAUGAUGCUGUGGCACUGUUCUCCUAAAAGCUAGGAAAUAAAUGUUUGUACUUGUUUUAUCAAAAUCAAUUUAUCGUUCUGGCUAUUAGAUAAAUCUUUACUCUUAUCAUGGAGUACUGGGUACAAAAAGAAUCGCAUACCACUUUUAUUUUUAAACAUAGAAAGGUGCCCUUUUUUGUACUCAAAGUAUUAAUAUCAAACCAUUUUUCAUCACUUUACAGGCAAAUGCAUCAAUAUCCAGCGUGGAAUGCUCUGAUGAGGAAGAUAACACAACAGAGCCCGUAGGCAAAACAAAUAGACGACAUGGAAGACCCACCUCCGAGUCCAUUAAAUCGAAAAAUACUGCCAAAACUCAUCGAAACAGUAGUGAAACUAACGAUGAAAGUGGGUCUGGAUCAAGGAUUAGAGAAGAAAAAGGGUCUGGAAGUCGUGGGACAGGACAGAGCACUCCAGCACUAACGUAAAAUAAUGACUGUCAGACUAGUCAAUGGUUUAAAUAUCAUUAUAUGUAUAUAAACAUAUUUAUACAUACAUAUAUAUAUAUAAAAAAAUAUGUGAACAUUUGGAAAGUAUGAGUAAAAUAGGCCAUUUAUGAAAAUCGAUGAACCUACAACAACCUUCCAACCAUUUAAAAUCAAGCAAAAAAGGCUGGAAAGCUUGUACUGUUCACAAGCUACUGCUCGCAAAGAUCGAUCAUUCAUUUAACAGAUAAAUCAUAUAAAACAGCUGUAGACAUUUUAAGUUACAUCUCGAGAAUUUUGAACGAACUAGACUUAAAAAAUUAUUGAAAAAUUAUAUCGAUACAGAUUAAGCUGAAACUUGUAAAGAUUGUUUGGAUUAUCUUAAGUAAUAAAAUAGAUUUUCUCUCAUUCCCCUUUUAGUACAAAUCUUGCCCAAAACUACUGACAUUAGCCAUUUACAUGGUUUUUAUUAUUUGUAUAAUAUGUAUUUGUAUAUGUUUAUAAAGCGUAGGCCAGUAUUUGUGCCUGAAACUAUGCCCUGAAACGGAUAGAAGUGGGCAGUGUACUCAGGGUACCUGUUGGCUUCUAAUGGUCGUCGAGAAUUCUGUGGGCCAGUUCUGUAUGCGAAUUUCCGCUGUUGCAAUAUUCUGCCGAUCCGUAAUUUAUUGUGAUCGUCUAUCGUUUUUGAUGCAAUAAUUCAUGGAUCGGAUUUUGAGAAAUGGAUCGUGAAGAAAGUACGAUCCAUUGCACUCGUGCCCAAUUCAUUGCUUUUGGCUUAUAUCGAUAGCUUAUAUAUCGACAAGAACACGCGGAAAAAGAACGUAAACGAAAACUAAUAAUUUAAAAAAUCUAAAAUUCCGCUAAAUACUUCGGUUUUAUGGAAAUGCUCCAAAUUUAAAUGACCGAGCUUUACGUUUCAAUAUCGGUCGUUUCUCAGCCGAUUGUAUUCAACAGUUUCGACAGUAAGGUAUGGAUCGGACGCUUUUACCUACAAUCAAAUCCCGAUCGUUGCAAUGGAUAGUGGAUCGGUGAUCAAGCCAUCCUGGUGGGUAACACACAGAAAGGAAACGUUUCCGACUUUAUAAAGUAUAUCCCAUUGAGCCCCCGAAAAGGACAAAAAUCUCCCACAUCCACAUCCACAUCCACAAAGAUAAAACUAAAUUAUGCAGCUCUAUGCAACUAUUUCCUCGAGCAAAUAGCUGUAUACAUAUGUAUAAAAAUAAAUCUAUAUACAGAGUACCGGGUAUAAAAGUUGUGAUGCGUCGUUCAACGUUCCCCCUCGUUAGACCUGGGUGAAAGCUAUUUUGUCUUCUACUCUUUUGCGUGCGAGCUUGUGACCACCCAAAAUAAUUAUUUAAUAAAAAAAUUAAAUCCGGAGAAACAGAAACAGGAAUAACGUUGUGAGUCUAUUACUAAAAAUACUUUUGUCCACCUUGUUCAGUCAGUAUAUGUACUGCCUCGUCUUUCCCCGUUUCUCACGAGCCCAGUCGCGCUGAAGCCGAAAUUUAACUCCCCGUAGGCUAACUCUAUCGGGGAUCGUGACUCCUUGCUAAGGACGACCACCACUAGUUCGUGGGGCUUUGCGUUGCAUCAAAUUUAACGAUCUUCUAAUCUGCCGUUGGAAAGUGCGGGUUGCACCGCUGUAACAUAGUGAGGAGUCAGGCACCCAUAUUUCGCACUCGGCCUACUGGGAACUUCGCGCCAGUCUACUGCUUUCUACAACUGAACGGAGCUCUCGUCCAUUUAGAUGACGUCCAGUGUCGCCGUCAUUCCACUUCCAUUGGCUCCUCGGAAACCUGGGUUUCGCACCGCUUCUGUCGAUGAAGUAUAUCAGCGUCCUCUCCUUGGCAAUCUGCGCCAAGGUCACAUUUGGCAGUAAUCUGGAUCGUUUUUGCCUACAGUCCAGUCUUCUCCUGAGAGCGCUUCUUUUAGGGUUGCUAGGCUUGUUCCUGCAGGACCAAACUAAAAUUUGGAAGCAGUCGGGCGGCCCAUAUCACCUUGAAGGGCUGCCGAAUUUUUUCGCUAGCUGUUCAGUUAGUUUAAAAACCUAAGUAGACAACGUAUAUAUAGUUUAUUUGUGACAACAAAUGGGUCGGAAAAGAUCGAGAGUGCGAUGCGUAUACGCAGAUCUGGUAAACCAGACCAAAGAUUUGAUUAAAAUAAAAUUCGUUUGUUGUUUAUUUUCUAAUCCAUAAAAUAAUUUUUUUAUUUGGAAGAGAGGUAAAUUUGAGCAAUAUGUACAUGUGUAUGUACGCAGACCUAUUUGGAACACUGUACUGGGUUAAAGUUGAAUUUUCUUAAAUUCAGAUAGUAUUGCACGAUCAGAAGCAACUGGAACUGGAAAAGGAAAAUCAAAAUGUCUCUUUAUUUUCGAACGACAUUUUAUAUUGAUAAUGUGGGAUAUUAUUAAUUUAGAAACAAAAAUACGCUUCGUACUGAUGUAAAUACAUUUGUAUGAUGUAUGUACAUGUAUUUCUUAAAUUACAAAUGCAUGUAUGUACAUACAAAUGUUAAAGUUAUGCAUAGAGUGGAAAUGUGUAAAAUUGUAUCACUCUAAAUGUACAUACAGAUAUGUAUAUACAUAUGUAUGAUUGCUAGGCUAGGCGAUAGUGAAAAAAUAUGAGUAACACCACCACCCAAAAUUACAACCCAUGUGCAGAAAAUCGAUAUUCUAGUCAAACUACAUGUACAUAUCAGCUUGUAGUGUCUACCUCGUGCUUACGUAGAAAAAUGAAUUUUUUUAAGUGCAAUAUAAAUAAAUAUAUCUACACAUAUGCAUAAAUAUGGUUGGAUUGUUACAUUCUUGUAUACAACAGAGUGAUAUUUAACCUAUUGCUUUUUUAGCCUAAAUUGGUUGCUCACUGUGUGGUAGGCUAGACAAUUAUUUAAUAUCUUUCUUUCUUUUUGUUUUUGCUGAAUUUGUGUACAUAUAUGCGUACAUGCAUAUGUACAUACAUGUGUACAUAUGUAUGUGUGAACUUGUGGAUACUAUUUUCGGAGGCUAGAUUCAACGUUUUGUAAUGAUCGAUGGUAAAACUGGAUAAUUAACAAUGCAUCUUGUUCGUAGUAACUUUUUCCAACGUGAUGAGUAUUUGAGAUCGCCUUCAACAAAGAUUGGAGUCCAACAACAGAAUUUCCAUACGUCGUACAGGAGCUAUCACACCAACAUGAAAGACGCGCAAGCUGAAAAAAAUGUAAAUAAUACAUUGGUUAAGCAUAACCAAAAUGUAACAUUUGUCCGGAGUAGUGGAAUCACUAAUGGAGCUGUUUUUCAUGAGAAUGUUAUUGAAAAUGAGUGGAACUUCCCUCCAAAGGUGCCAGCUCCGCACAUCUACCAUUGCAUUAACCCAGUAAGUCAGAAAAUUAAUGAAAUCUAGCUUCGGUGCACCGAAGUGCAUAUAACUUUGAAAAAUUGUGGAUUUGUUAUCUAUUCCGAUCGUUUUUAUAACUAUAACUAUGAUUUGAAUGUGUUUUGGAACCUCGAAAGAACCUCAUUACGAGGAUUUUAACGUUGCCCUGUUGAUGUCUAGAUGUAAAUAUCGGGGACUACUCAAGCGGCAGCACCCUUUGGUCGGUUGGGAUGUGUCUCUAACUAGGAACUGACUGGGCUUGGUGGCGCAUGGGCCCCUUGAUGGUUCAGUCAUUGUAACUGACGUUAUCAGAUGCUUUUAGAGCGUCUCUCACUGUCUUUCGUUCUCUCUAGUAGGGUAGCUUAAUAAUAAAGUGUGGGGUUUCAUUGCAUGUACAUACAUACAAUGAAAUUAAAAUUUACAUACAUAUGUACAUAUGGCAAAAAUUAAUUUUAAUGUUUCUUUAUUUUUUCAGGACUUACUGGUGGGAAGUGAUAAGAACGGCUUCAAAGGACUCCGUAAGCAAUUUAGUGGGCGAUUUAAGCGCUUAGUUACUCGAAAAGUAGAGCACGGCCCAGUGAUACCCCCGGAAUUAAAGCCACAAUUAAAAACAAUUUACGUUUACUAAUUUUAGAAGAAUCACUAUUUGCGUAUAUACAAUAUGUAUGUAUAAAUGUACUUGUAUGUAUUUUUAUAUAUUGUAGAAAACUUUAGUGAUAAUAAAAGCAAGAUAAACUAAGCUACCUUGUUAAUUGACAUUUCUAAUUAUUAAGUUCAUCAUGCUUAAU
Molecule: long non-coding RNA, 5634 nt
Filed under: Drosophila guanche
Lineage: Eukaryota; Metazoa; Arthropoda; Insecta; Diptera; Drosophilidae
Source: RNAcentral